AUUGAACGCUGGCGGCAUGAUUUACACAUGCAAGUCGAACGGUAACAGGCCGCAAGGUGCUGACGAGUGGCGAACGGGUGAGUAAUGCAUCGGAACGUGCCCAGUCGUGGGGGAUAACUACUCGAAAGAGUAGCUAAUACCGCAUACGAUCUAUGGAUGAAAGCGGGGGACCGUAAGGCCUCGCGCGAUUGGAGCGGCCGAUGUCAGAUUAGGUAGUUGGUGGGGUAAAGGCUCACCAAGCCAACGAUCUGUAGCUGGUCUGAGAGGACGACCAGCCACACUGGGACUGAGACACGGCCCAGACUCCUACGGGAGGCAGCAGUGGGGAAUUUUGGACAAUGGGCGAAAGCCUGAUCCAGCAAUGCCGCGUGCAGGAAGAAGGCCUUCGGGUUGUAAACUGCUUUUGUACGGAACGAAACGGCUCUGGUUAAUACCCGGGGCUAAUGACGGUACCGUAAGAAUAAGCACCGGCUAACUACGUG
Molecule: ribosomal RNA, 482 nt
Filed under: uncultured bacterium
Lineage: Bacteria
Description: partial 16S ribosomal RNA
Rfam family: Bacterial small subunit ribosomal RNA
Source: RNAcentral